AUUGAACGCUGGCGGAAUGCUUUACACAUGCAAGUCGAACGGUAGAGGGGGCAACCCCUUGAGAGUGGCGAACGGGUGAGUAAUAUAUCGGAACGUGCCCAGUCGUGGGGAUAACGUAGCGAAAGUUACGCUAAUACCGCAUACGAUCUAAGGAUGAAAGCGGGGGAUCGCAAGACCUCGCGCGAUUGGAGCGGCCGAUAUCAGAUUAGGUAGUUGGUGAGGUAAAGGCUCACCAAGCCAACGAUCUGUAGCUGGUCUGAGAGGACGACCAGCCACACUGGAACUGAGACACGGUCCAGACUCCUACGGGAGGCAGCAGUGGGGAAUUUUGGACAAUGGACGCAAGUCUGAUCCAGCCAUUCCGCGUGCAGGAUGAAGGCCCUCGGGUUGUAAACUGCUUUUGUACGGAACGAAAAGGUUUCUAUUAAUACUAGGAGCUCAUGACGGUACCGUAAGAAUAAGCACCGGCUAACUACGUGCCAGCAGCCGCGGUAAUG
Molecule: ribosomal RNA, 497 nt
Filed under: uncultured bacterium
Lineage: Bacteria
Description: bacterial SSU rRNA
Rfam family: Bacterial small subunit ribosomal RNA
Source: RNAcentral